Molecule: ribosomal RNA, 253 nt
Filed under: uncultured bacterium
Lineage: Bacteria
Description: partial 16S ribosomal RNA
Rfam family: Bacterial small subunit ribosomal RNA
Source: RNAcentral
UACGGAGGGUGCGAGCGUUGUCCGGAAUCACUGGGCGUAGAGGGCGCGUAGGCGGCUCAUGAAGGCUGUGGUGAAAGUCCGGGGCUCAACCUCGGAUCGGCCGUGGCGACUCGUGGGCUGGAGCACUGUAGAGGCGGGUGGAAUUCCGGGUGUAGCGGUGGAAUGCGUAGAGAUCCGGAAGAACACCAGUGGCGAAGGCGGCCCGCUGGGCAGUGGCUGACGCUGAAGCGCGACAGCGUGGGGAGCAAACAGG